This 253-nucleotide ribosomal RNA is filed under the name uncultured bacterium. Its description in RNAcentral is "partial 16S ribosomal RNA". It matches the Rfam family "Bacterial small subunit ribosomal RNA", at positions 524 to 776 of the family's 1533-position model. The record is from RNAcentral.
UACGUAGGGGGCUAGCGUUGUCCGGAAUCAUUGGGCGUAAAGAGCGUGUAGGCGGCCCGGUAAGUCCGCUGUAAAAGUCAAAGGCUCAACCUUUGAAUGUCAGUGGAUACUGCCGGGCUAGAGUCCGGGAGGGGCGAGUGGAAUUCCUGGUGUAGCGGUGAAAUGCGCAGAUAUCAGGAAGAACACCAAUGGCGAAAGCAGCUCUCUGGGACGGUACUGACGCUGAGACGCGAAAGCGUGGGGAGCGAACAGG